RNAcentral lists this transfer RNA (115 nucleotides) under Sporisorium scitamineum. RNAcentral describes it as "transfer RNA-Met(CAT)". It matches the Rfam family "tRNA". Rfam says of the family: Transfer RNA (tRNA) molecules are approximately 80 nucleotides in length. Their secondary structure includes four short double-helical elements and three loops (D, anti-codon, and T loops). Lineage: Eukaryota; Fungi; Basidiomycota; Ustilaginomycetes; Ustilaginales; Ustilaginaceae. The record is from RNAcentral.
AGCUUCUUAGCGCAGUAGGUAGCGCGUUGGGCUCAUACCUAGAUCCUAUGGAAGUUCCUCUCCACUUUCGGGUGGAGAUACCCAAAGGUCGUCGGAUCGAAACCGACAGAAGCUA